RNAcentral lists this ribosomal RNA (467 nucleotides) under uncultured bacterium. Its description in RNAcentral is "bacterial SSU rRNA". It matches the Rfam family "Bacterial small subunit ribosomal RNA", at positions 30 to 533 of the family's 1533-position model. The record is from RNAcentral.
AUUGAACGCUGGCGGUAUGCUUAAGACAUGCAAGUCGAACGGUAACAGGUUAAGCUGACGAGUGGCGGACGAGUGAGUAACGCGUGGGAAUCUACCUUGUAGUGGGGGAUAAGCCAGGGAAACUUGGACUAAUACCGCAUAUGCCCUAAGGGGGAAAGGCGCAAGUCGCUAUAAGAUGAGCCCGCGUCUGAUUAGGUAGUUGGUGGGGUAAAGGCCUACCAAGCCGACGAUCAGUAGCUGGUCUGAGAGGAUGAUCAGCCACGUCGGGACUGAGACACGGCCCGGACUCCUACGGGAGGCAGCAGUCGGGAAUAUUGGACAAUGGGGGAAACCCUGAUCCAGCAAUACCGCGUGUGUGAAGAAGGCCUGCGGGUUGUAAAGCACUUUCAGUUGGGAAGAUAAUGACGUUACCAACAGAAGAAGCACCGGCUAACUCCGUGCCAGCAGCCGCGGUAAGGUGCGCGAGU